Molecule: ribosomal RNA, 626 nt
Filed under: uncultured Flavobacteriia bacterium
Lineage: Bacteria; Pseudomonadati; Bacteroidota; Flavobacteriia
Description: bacterial SSU rRNA
Rfam family: Bacterial small subunit ribosomal RNA
Source: RNAcentral
GCUAGCGGCAGGCCUAACACAUGCAAGUCGAACGGUAACAGUCACUUCGGUGGCUGACGAGUGGCGCACGGGUGCGUAACGCGUAUACAAUCUACCUCUUACAGGGGGAUAGCCCAGAGAAAUUUGGAUUAAUACCCCAUGGCAUAUGUUUUCGGCAUCGGAGACAUAUUAAAGAUUCAUCGGUAGGAGAUGAGUAUGCGUUCUAUUAGCUAGUAGGUGCGGUAACGGCGCACCUAGGCCACGAUAGAUAGGGGCCCUGAGAGGGGGAUCCCCCACACUGGUACUGAGACACGGACCAGACUCCUACGGGAGGCAGCAGUGAGGAAUAUUGGACAAUGGGCGAGAGCCUGAUCCAGCCAUGCCGCGUGCAGGAAGACUGCCCUAUGGGUUGUAAACUGCUUUUAUACGGGAAGAAACACUCCCUCGUGAGGGGGCUUGACGGUACCGUAAGAAUAAGGAUCGGCUAACUCCGUGCCAGCAGCCGCGGUAAUACGGAGGAUCCAAGCGUUAUCCGGAAUCAUUGGGUUUAAAGGGUCCGUAGGUGGACGGUAAGUCAGAGGUGAAAUCCUGCAGCUCAACUGUAGAAUUGCCUUUGAUACUGGUCGUCUUGAGUCAUUGUGAAGUGG